AGUUAUAUAGUAUAGUAGUAAUAUAUAUAUACCUUAUAGGUUUUUAUAUUCAUUUCCUAGGUAUAAUAACCUAUUUAUAUAAGGUUAUAGGUUUAAUUCCUACUAUAACUA
This is a non-coding RNA of Chaetomium sp. MPI-SDFR-AT-0129, 111 nucleotides long. The record is from the annotation of a GenBank genome assembly. NCBI's taxonomy places the organism in Eukaryota, Fungi, Ascomycota, Sordariomycetes, Sordariales, Chaetomiaceae.